Molecule: ribosomal RNA, 478 nt
Filed under: uncultured bacterium
Lineage: Bacteria
Description: partial 16S ribosomal RNA
Rfam family: Bacterial small subunit ribosomal RNA
Source: RNAcentral
GACGAACGCUGGCGGCGUGCUUAACACAUGCAAGUCGAACGGUAAGGCCCUUCGGGGUACACGAGUGGCGAACGGGUGAGUAACACGUGGGUGAUCUGCCCUGCACUUCGGGAUAAGCCUGGGAAACUGGGUCUAAUACCGGAUAGGACCACUGCCUGCAUGGGUGGUGGUGGAAAGCUUUUGCGGUGUGGGAUGGGCCCGCGGCCUAUCAGCUUGUUGGUGGGGUGAUGGCCUACCAAGGCGACGACGGGUAGCCGGCCUGAGAGGGUGACCGGCCACACGGGGACUGAGCUACGGCCCAGACUCCUACGGGAGGCAGCAGUGGGGAAUAUUGAAUAAUGGGCGCAAGCCUGAUGCAGCGACGCCGCGUGAGGGAUGACGGCCUUCGGGUUGUAAACCUCUUUCAGCACCGACGAAGCGCAAGUGACGGUAGGUGCAGAAGAAGGACCGGCCAACUACGUGCCAGCAGCCGCCGUAA